UACGUAGGGUGCAAGCGUUAAUCGGAAUUACUGGGCGUAAAGCGUAGGCGUAGGUGGUUUGUUAAGUCUGUUGUGAAAGCCCCGGGCUCAACCUGGGAAUGGCAAUGGAUACUGGCAAAGCUAGAGUGCGGUAGAGGGUAGUGGAAUUCCCGGUGUAGCGGUGAAAUGCGUAGAAGAUCGGGAGGAACACCAGUGGCGAAGGCGGCUACCUGGACCAGCACUCGACCACUGAGGCACGAAAGCGUGGGGGAAGCAAACAGGG
This 262-nucleotide ribosomal RNA is filed under the name uncultured bacterium. RNAcentral describes it as "partial 16S ribosomal RNA". It matches the Rfam family "Bacterial small subunit ribosomal RNA", at positions 524 to 777 of the family's 1533-position model. The record is from RNAcentral.